This 422-nucleotide ribosomal RNA is filed under the name uncultured Finegoldia sp. RNAcentral's name for it is "bacterial SSU rRNA". It matches the Rfam family "Bacterial small subunit ribosomal RNA", at positions 65 to 490 of the family's 1533-position model. The record is from RNAcentral. Lineage: Bacteria; Bacillati; Bacillota; Tissierellia; Tissierellales; Peptoniphilaceae.
AACGGGAUUUAGUAAACAGAAGCCUCGGUGGAAGAUUACUAAUGAGAGUGGCGAACGGGUGAGUAACGCGUGAGCAACCUGCCUAUGACAGUGGGAUAGCCUCGGGAAACCGGGAUUAAUACCGCAUAAAAUCGUAGAAACACAUGUUUUAACGGUCAAAGAUUUAUCGGUCAUAGAUGGGCUCGCGUCUGAUUAGCUAGUUGGUGAGAUAACAGCCCACCAAGGCGACGAUCAGUAGCCGGUCUGAGAGGAUGAACGGCCACAUUGGAACUGAGACACGGUCCAAACUCCUACGGGAGGCAGCAGUGGGGAAUAUUGCACAAUGGGGGAAACCCUGAUGCAGCGACGCCGCGUGAACGAAGAAGGUAUUCGUAUCGUAAAGUUCUGUCCUAGGGAAGAUAAGACAGUACCAUAGAAGAAAG